CCAAAUAUAGUGUAUACAGGUGUCAGCACUGCCUAUAAGACAGUCUGGCUUAAUAGGGAAGCAUGGUGCAAAUCCAUCACGGUCCCGCCACUGUAAGGCUUUCCGGUUUCAUACGAUUAGGUAGCCGGCCACAUGAGGACAAAUUGCCACUGAAGUACCACAAAAAUCUUCGGGAAGGCGUCCAUGUGCGAGAACCAAGUCAGGAGACCUGCCUGUUGCAAGAGACACAC
This 230-nucleotide non-coding RNA is filed under the name Paenibacillus sp. RNAcentral also lists the same sequence under 1 other name. The record is from RNAcentral. Lineage: Bacteria; Bacillati; Bacillota; Bacilli; Caryophanales; Paenibacillaceae.